RNAcentral lists this long non-coding RNA (2586 nucleotides) under Canis lupus familiaris (dog). RNAcentral's name for it is "lncRNA (ENSCAFG00040016698.1)". Lineage: Eukaryota; Metazoa; Chordata; Mammalia; Carnivora; Canidae. The record is from RNAcentral.
AUGGGACUAAAUGCCCAAGUGGAAAUAAGCAAACGUGGGUCAGGAGCUGGUUCCUGUGUCCGAGGAAGUAGGAGCAGAGCCGGUCAUGGUGCUGCCAACGAGGGCGCCAGGGGCCAGGAUGCUGUGGCCGACCCAGGGCAGCAGAGUGACUCAGUCACCCGCACAAUGACCUCACCAGGAGGGGCCACAACCCACCCUCGGCCUCAGCGGACCCUGCUCCGAGAGCAAAAACCAGAAAGGUCUAGAUGCAGAGGCCUCAGCUUUGUGACGUGUCCGGCUGCCUUGGAAAACCCUGACCGGGGUUAAAUCCGCAUGGUUUUGAACGAGGGCUGUGAGCCGGCUCUGGUGGCCUCGCACCCAAGAGAAGAAUGCAAGCCCUGAACCUGGAACUCAGGUGAGCAUUUUAGAAACCUGGUGCCUUGGGCAGCCCCGGUGGCCCAGCGGCUUAGCGUCACCUUCAGCCCGGGUCGUGAUCCUGGAGACCCGGGAUCGAGUCCCGCAUCGUGCUCCCAGUGCAUGGAGCCUGCUUCUCCCUCUGCCUGGGUCUCUACCUCUCUCUCUCUCUCUCUCUCUCUCUCUCAUGAAUAAAUAAAUAAAAUCUUAAAAAAAAAAAGAAAGAAAGAAAGAAAGCUGGCACCUUGAUGGGCCUGCCGGGAGGAGGCCAACACGAAGCCAGAGGCUGGGGGCAGGAAGGGCUGGGGAGGAGGCAGAGGCCGGCGGCUCCGGCGCGGCUGAUGGGUCUCAUAGAGGAGAUGUCGUCGAAGUGUUACCUUUUGCAUUUUCCCCUUCACCACGAACUUAAUAACUUUAUUUUCACUGCAGCUCCAUCAAUUUUAGUUGGGAUGUGCAAUGAUUCACUUCCCCAGAGAGUUUGCAUAAUACGUAUCCUGCAGGUUUCAUUUCUGUAAAUCACUGCUUUUCGGGGAGAAGGGGGGGUGGAUGCCAGGCAGGCUCCAGCCCCCGGGUAAGUUUUGAGACGGAAAGGAGAUUGCAUAUCCUGAUUGCUAAGCUAUCUCUGCUGUUCACGGAGAAAUUAUUUUCCCUGUAACACUCCCGUUUGUAUAUUCGAUAAAGUUAAUAUCUGUGAAAUCACUUGAUUCUCACCGCACUCAAUUAUCCCGAAACAGACAGAAGAUUGACUUCCUGGUAUCGACAGGAGAGAACUCUCAAUGUCUUUUGACUUAUUAUGUCUGGCAGUUGGAAAGAAUCACAAUAACACAUAAAAUCACUUCACAGGGUAUGUUUAGAGAGCAAAGAAAAAUUAAGGAGGGACGGACUCUUAGGGUAUUUUUGCCUUUUGACGGAGGUUUCUAUGUCCUGUCAAGCACUUUCUCCGAAAUGAACUGGAGGCACACAGUGUAAAUUGAUUUAUCCGCACCUCAAGAAAUACCUGAGGUUUAAUUGCCUCUGCAAUAUUUAUGCUUACAUAAAUAAUUCAACGGCAAAUUAAUCCAGCUUUUGUAAUUACCUCCCGCGGAGGCACAUGGCUCGGGCCCAAGGACUUAAUUGCGGCUUGAUGAAGGUAUUUAGGUCACUACAACCAAUAAACCAUAUAGAAAUUCUCGAAGCCAUAAAGGAAAGAAAUCCAUAGCUCUCAGGCCUACGCUCUCAGGAAGAAAUACAGUAUUUGUGGUUGAUCCGACCCGCUGCGGGCUUAGGAGGCAGAGCUCUGCUAACGAGUGUUCUAAAAACACGUUGUUUUCAGCCUCAUCCGUGAGCUCCCGGCACACUGGACCCUUAAACCCGCGGCUGGGGGACGCCCCUCUCCGGUCAGCGUGUGUCCCACGUCAGCGGGUCCAGACAGCUGUGUCCUCCGCCUAUUCCCUUCUUCAUCUGCAGGCAGCCUGUGCCGGGCCUCAUCUCUUGUGCUCACUGUCUUCUUGUCCCCAGAGCCAAAGCUCUAGCCCUGGACACAGCUUUCGGGGUGAGGGCAGGCAGGCGAACCCACUGCAGGCAUCUUUUGGUGGUAACUUGCUCUUUUUCCAGAAAUGCAUAUUUAAAAAGCCAGGAAACACACACCUCCCCCAAAAUAAAGAUAAAACACGCCCCCUGCCAUUUGCUAGUUGGAAUGGUAACUAAAAUUACCGUCGAAUGUUAAGUCUUAUUCACCAGUGCGGUGGCUUUAUCUGCGAUCGUGUCCCUCACUGAACUGGGAAGGGAGCAGAGUAAGUCGCAUGGCUAAGGAAGCACAGGUCCCAAGGGGUCGCCCAGUUAUCUCCAUGGGAACAAACUAAUGAUUUACAGAGCGAAGCCCAAACGCGGAUCUUCUCAUCGACCGGCGUGCGCUGUGAGGGGAGGGACUUGGUUCGCUGCUCUCCGCCCAGACCUAGAACAGGGUCUGCGCACAGUAGGUUCUCAGGAAAUAUGUGGGCAAAUGGAUGGAUUGUGAGUCCCGUGUGCUUCGCUCCGCACCCCGUCGUCUUCCCGGGCAAUGGGAUCCUUGCACGCUCUGUUAUCCUCCCACACGCAGCCUGUCCUUCAGAUUUAGGGGAUCAUCACCUACACUUCACACCAACACCGACAACUCCGUCUAAAGUCUGCCUGCGUGACUCUGCUCACAUUGGAUUAUCUCACAAGUGAGCAUCU